UUGAUUUUAUGGAAUGAUUUAC
RNAcentral lists this microRNA (22 nucleotides) under Hydra vulgaris (swiftwater hydra). RNAcentral describes it as "hma-miR-3011". Lineage: Eukaryota; Metazoa; Cnidaria; Hydrozoa; Anthoathecata; Hydridae. The record is from miRBase by way of RNAcentral.